GGUGAGUAACACGUGGGUGAUCUGCCCUGCACUUCGGGAUAAGCCCGGGAAACUGGGUCUAAUACCGGAUAGUACUGCGCGGUGCAUGCCGUGUGGUGGAAAGAUUUAUCGGUGCAGGAUGGGCCCGCGGCCUAUCAGCUUGUUGGUGGGGUAAUGGCCUACCAAGGCGACGACGGGUAGCCGGCCUGAGAGGGCGACCGGCCACACUGGGACUGAGACACGGCCCAGACUCCUACGGGAGGCAGCAGUGGGGAAUAUUGCACAAUGGGCGCAAGCCUGAUGCAGCGACGCCGCGUGAGGGAUGACGGCCUUCGGGUUGUAAACCUCUUUCAGCAGGGACGAAGCGCAAGUGACGGUACCUGCAGAAGAAGCACCGGCCAACUACGUGCCAGCAGCCGCGGUAAUACGUAGGGUGCAAGCGUUGUCCGGAAUUACUGGGCGUAAAGAGCUCGUAGGCGGUUUGUCGCGUCGUCUGUGAAAACCAGCAGCUCAACUGUUGGCUUGCAGGCGAUACGGGCAGACUUGAGUAUUUCAGGGGAGACUGGAAUUCCUGGUGUAGCGGUGAAAUGCGCAGAUAUCAGGAGGAACACCGGUGGCGAAGGCGGGUCUCUGGGAAAUAACUGACGCUGAGGAGCGAAAGCGUGGGUAGCGAACAGGAUUAGAUACCCUGGUAGUCCACGCCGUAAACGGUGGGCGCUAGGUGUGGGUUUCCUUCCACGGGAUCCGUGCCGUAGCUAACGCAUUAAGCGCCCCGCCUGGGGAGUACGGCCGCAAGGCUAAACUCAAAGGAAUUGACGGGGGCCCGCACAAGCGGCGGANCAUGUGGAUUAAUUCGAUGCAACGCGANACCUUACCUGGG
Molecule: ribosomal RNA, 859 nt
Filed under: Rhodococcus sp. CTLA19
Lineage: Bacteria; Bacillati; Actinomycetota; Actinomycetes; Mycobacteriales; Nocardiaceae
Description: bacterial SSU rRNA
Rfam family: Bacterial small subunit ribosomal RNA
Source: RNAcentral